GACGAACGCUGGCGGCGUGCUUAACACAUGCAAGUCGAACGGAAAGGCCCUGCUUUUGUGGGGUGCUCGAGUGGCGAACGGGUGAGUAACACGUGAGUAACCUGCCCUUGACUUUGGGAUAACUUCAGGAAACUGGGGCUAAUACCGGAUAGGAGCUCCCGCUGCAUGGUGGGGGUUGGAAAGUUUCGGCGGUUGGGGAUGGACUCGCGGCUUAUCAGCUUGUUGGUGGGGUAGUGGCUUACCAAGGCUUUGACGGGUAGCCGGCCUGAGAGGGUGACCGGCCACAUUGGGACUGAGAUACGGCCCAGACUCCUACGGGAGGCAGCAGUGGGGAAUAUUGCACAAUGGGCGGAAGCCUGAUGCAGCAACGCCGCGUGCGGGAUGACGGCCUUCGGGUUGUAACCCGCUUUCGCCUGUGACGAAGCGUGAGUGACGGUAAUGGGUAAAGAAGCACCGGCUAACUACGUG
Molecule: ribosomal RNA, 468 nt
Filed under: uncultured bacterium
Lineage: Bacteria
Description: partial 16S ribosomal RNA
Rfam family: Bacterial small subunit ribosomal RNA
Source: RNAcentral